GGUAAAAGAAAAGCAAUUUAUUAUAAACGGGGACUUGAGGAAUAACCAUAUAUGGUGAUAAGAGUGAAUAUAUUCAAAUAUUACUUUUCACCAACUGUAAAGCAAUUUAAACUAGCAUGUAAAAUUAUUAUUUAGUCACCUUAGUUAUCACUAUUUUAUUUUGUUAGUUUAACGCACUUAAGAUCUAUAUCUUAUAUACUGGGCCAUUGUUGUUGUUGUUGUUUUGUUGUAAGAUCUAUAUGUUAUAUUUUUUUAACAAUAAGCAAGGUAAGAGAACUUCUGUAACAUGAUCAACUAAAAUAAAGUCUUAACAAUAUAUGAAUUUGUUAAUAAAUAGCAUAUUGGUGCAUAUAUAUUACCAUAAACCAAAAGAAUAUAAUAUAUAGUGAUAUACCUGAAGGAGAGUCGAACACAACUAGGAUACAACAACAACAACUACCCAGUGUAGUCCCACAAAGUGGAGUCUGAGUAGGGUAAUAUGUAGACAGGCUUUACCCCUACCCGAAAGGGCAGAGAGGCUGUUUCCAAUCGACCCUCGGCUCAGUGAAGGAAAGGAAAAAUAAAAACAAAAAUAAAAAAAUUUUGUUCAUGCUUUAUGACACGAUAUGCUAUUUGAAUAACAACAACAAACAACAACAACUACCCAGUAUAGUCCCACAAAGUGGAGUCUGAGUAGGGUAAUAUGUAGACAGGCUUUACCCCUACCCGAAAGGGCAGAGAGGCUGUUUCCAAUCGACCCUCGGCUCAGGGAAGUAAAGGAAAAACAAAACAAAAACAAAAGCAAAAGAGCAUUAGUAAAUACAGCAAAAGUCGCGUAAAUAAUUAUCUAAACAUAAAAACCAUAAAUAACAAGGCAUGCAAUAAUAUCAAACAGUAACUACCAUAAAUUAUCUAAGGAUACACAAAUCAUCUAAGAAUAGCCCUGCCAAGUCUCACCCAGCCCCGGGAAAUGAGUACGAAAAAUUCUAAGAGCCCCUAUCCUACAACCCUGAUACUAGACCUCCAUACUUUCCUAUCAAGGGUCAUGCCCUCGGAAAUCUGCAUCCUAGCCAUGUCAUGCCUAAUCACCUCUCCCCAAUACCUCUUAGGCAUCCCUCUGCCUCGCCUCACGCCGACCACCGCCAGUCGCUCACAACUCCUCAC
This 1143-nucleotide long non-coding RNA is filed under the name Nicotiana benthamiana. Its description in RNAcentral is "long non-coding RNA (NBEN_LNC014635)". The record is from RNAcentral. Lineage: Eukaryota; Viridiplantae; Streptophyta; Magnoliopsida; Solanales; Solanaceae.